RNAcentral lists this long non-coding RNA (3222 nucleotides) under Solanum tuberosum (potato). RNAcentral describes it as "long non-coding RNA (STUB_LNC007326)". The record is from RNAcentral. Lineage: Eukaryota; Viridiplantae; Streptophyta; Magnoliopsida; Solanales; Solanaceae.
UUGGUAUUUCGAAUAUUUUUGCUAUGCUUAGGUCUAGUUCUUUUCCUUUUAUUUGUUCAAAUAUACUAUUAUCAAAUAUUAUCUUUUGUUCUAAAGAUUCUUCGUCUUGAUGUUCUUCUCUAGUUAUUAUUUGUAUAUCAGUUUCAGUCAUUUGUUAUAUUAUAGAAUUCAUUAUCUGAUUCUAUCUCUAUAUCAUUAUUCAUUUCAUUUUCUGAUAUUUCAUAUAUACUAUCUUCACUUUCUAAUUCAUAAUCUAUGUACUCUAGCUGUGUAUAUUUUUCAUCGUUUAUUAUUAAUUCUGAUAUUUGUUUUUUCUUUGGAUUUUUAGGUAAUUUACAAUCUCUAGCUAUGUGUCCUAACUUUCGACAAUUAUAACAAGUACAUUCCGUUAGUUUUCUUUUUGGUCUAUAUGGUCUUUUGGUUUUGUAGUUUUUUACAUAAUAUCUUCUUCUUGGUUUUUUAUAUUUAUAUUUUGAUCUGUAUUUUUUAUUAUAUUUCUUUCUAUUUUUAUAAUACUUAUCCGUACAACCAAAUUGAGGUGCUGUUUUAUUUUUGCAACAUGCCAAGUUUUUUACUAAUAUUUUUUCCAUUUUUAUUUCUUCUUUAUGUUUUUCACAUAGUUCCAUAAACCAUCGUUGCAAGAAUUUUAUUCUAGCUCCUAAGGUGUCUGUUAAUUCUGCUUCAUUCCAACUUUUUAUUACUUUUGAAUUAAAAGGUUCCGGUAAUUUUGUAAAAUAUAAUUUUCUUAUUUCUUUACUUUCUUCUAUGUUAUAUGUUCCUUUAUAAUAAUAUUCUCUAAAUGCACAUGUAUAUUCAUCUAUAUAACACAUAUUACAUAUUGCUAAUUUUGUCAUUAGAUUUCGGUUUAUGAUUUUUUCUUUAUUUUGUUCUUCUACUUCUGUUGUCAUACUACUAAAUUCAUUUCUUAUAGCUACUUCAUACUUAUAUAAUAUUUCCGUAGUUGUAGUAGCUAAUUCGCCACUAGAUUUUUUAUUACUUCUUAACGUUUUUAAACUUUCAUCGGAUAAAUUUUGUAGCCAUAAUUUUACUGUUCCUAUAAGCGUUCUUUCUAUAUAUCCUGGUGCCUCUGUCAUUACUAUUUUGUUAUCUAUUAAUUGUUUUGAUAUAUAUCCUAUCCAUAAUUGGAUUGUUUUAUUUAUAUCUGCUACACAGUCUAAAUCUAAAAAAUCAUGUUGUCCAGUUAUUGGUUUAGGCGUCCAUUUUUUAUUUAAUUUUUUAUCCCAUGUAGUCCUUUCUCUAUUAUAUUGUUCAUAGUUUUCAUUAUAAUAUUUUGGAUUAAAAUUUUUUGGGUUUUUUACUCCUGAUGUGCUAGGUUUUUCAUCCAUGUCUACAUCUCCUGUAUUUAUUUCUAAAUUCUUUGUAUUAUCUAUGUUUGCUAAAAGUUCCGUAUAUGUUUCGCUUGUUUCCGAAUGUUGUUCUAGAUCAUCGUCGUUUAUUUCAUCAAUUCUUAUUUCGGGUAGAUUAUCUUGGCUAUUUUCUCCCUUUUCUUCCAUUUCGUCUUCUAAUUGUAAUUUUUCUUUAAAUUUAAUUAUCUCAUUUGCUAAUUUUGUUUUUUGUUCUUUUUCUCUUUGUUUAAUUUCAUACAUUUCUUUUAAUAUUGCUAGCUCUUUUUCUAGCUCUAUUAUUUUAGUAUUUUUUACUUCUUCUAAUUGUUGUACUUCCUUUUUUACUUGUUGUUUUAUUUUUUCAAUUUCCGUUUUUCUAUCUAUUUCUUCAUUUUCUUUUGUUAUUCUUAUCAUAGCAGUUAAACUAUCUUCUAGUUUUACCGUUUCUUUUUCUAACAUUAAACUUAGAUUAUCACCUAUUUUCUUAUAUCUUCUUCCUAGAUUAGAAAAUAUUAUCUUUAUUUUUAAUCCGUCAUAGUUUUCAUAUGUUUUUUCAUCUAUUGCAUAUUCUUCUUUAUUCAUUUAUAAGUUGUGUUGUAGUUUAUAUUCUAAGCUUUCUAUUUGUAUUUGUAGAUAUAAAAUAGUUUUCCUCUGUGCUGUUAUAGAUUUUUUACAAAUUCCUGCAAAUAUAUUACUAUUAAGUCUAUUUUGCCUAUGUCUCAAUUCUUGUCUUUUUGCUAUAAUUAUUUCGUUAAGUUUUUGUCUAUAUUCUUCAUUCUCGUUAUUCAUUGUUUCUUUAAGUAUUGAAUAUAUUUAUAUUCUAUUUUAGAUAUAUUAACUAUUAAUUGAUCUAAUUUGUCGUUAUCAGUUUUUGUGAUAUUGAGUUUUUUAUAUUCCGGUGAUGUGGUUUUAUAUCAUCUUCCAUUGAUUUUUGUGGGGUUUUAUCUAUUCUUCUUGAGGUACUCAUUUUUUAUGAGAUUUGUGGUAUUUCACAGUUCGUGUUUAUUCUUUUUGAUGUGCUUAAUCUUUCUUUUACUAUUUCUAAAUCUUCUUCUAUAUCAAUCUCAUUAUAACUGUAAUCAUUUUUAUCUAUGACUGUGACUAUUCUUUCAAAAGGAUUUUCUAUUUUUAUUUAUUUUAUUUUAUUUUUUGCUGUUAUUUUAUGUUUUGUUGUUAAAACAUAUAAGUUUUUACAUCUGGCUGUAAAUAUUUUACUUCCCGGGGCUAGUUCUAUUCCUGACAUUUUCCAAUAUAAUACUAAUGAUUUAUCUAUAUUUCUGUCAUUUAUUGCUACUGAGUAGUUAGCACUUAUUAUAAAUUUGAAUUUUUGGUAUAUGAGGUUACCUUUUACUGCACUUAUUAUACUUUUUUCUAUGGGUUGUAUGAUUCUAUCAUCCGCUAAGUAUAUUUCUAUGGGUGUAUCUAUUCCUUCUCUAAAACAUGCUUUUAUUAGUAUUUCUGUUCCUCCUAAAUGUACAUAUUUAAUUGGAUUUUUAGCCUUAAUAUCUUGUAUUUCUUUAUUUAUUAUUCGUUUAUUUAUUAUUGGUAUUUUGGCCUUACCUUUAGUGUAUUUGCAAUCUAUGAUAUGUUCUCUUUGACUUACUACAUAAUAUUCUUCUUUUUGUCGUUUAAACCAGUUUUUUAUUGUUGGUAUUUCGAAUAUUUUUGCUAUGCUUAGGUCUAGUUCUUUUCCUUUUAUUUGUUCAAAUAUAUUAUUAUCAAAUAUUAUUUUUUGUUCUGAAGAUUCUUCGUCUUGAUGUUUUUCUUUAUUUAUUAUUUGUAUAUCUGUUUCAGUCAUUUGUUAUAUUAUAAAAUUCAUUAUCUGAUUCUAUUUCUAUAUCGUUAUUUAUUUCAUUUUCUGAUAUUUCAUAUAUAC